This is a long non-coding RNA of Sciurus carolinensis (gray squirrel), 894 nucleotides long. RefSeq lists it as uncharacterized. The transcript is spliced from 3 exons. The record is from RefSeq and is a predicted model, not a curated record. Lineage: Eukaryota; Metazoa; Chordata; Mammalia; Rodentia; Sciuridae.
AGUCAAGACCCUUAAAGGAAGGAAAGCUGAGAAGAGGUCCCAAAGUCUUACGCGAACUCUGGUCUUCAUGUUGAAGCAAGAAUGCAGGACCAGGAAGAUGAUCUGCACUCAACUGCAGGUUCACAGACAACCACAUGGAAGUCAGAGUUGACAAGGUGUCAUCUCCGCCGUGGAGAGCACCCGACAGGCUCAGACAGAGCUGAGAGAGGUCGGCUGCCGUGGGUGUUGCCAGAGAACCAUCUUUCUCAAUCUGUGCCAGGGCUCUUGCUAAUAUCCUAGCGGCAGUUCUGUCAUUUCAGCCAGCUGACAAGCAGUCUUUCAAAGGGCUCAGGAGUCAUUUUUUAAUAUCACUUGUACUUAAGUAAUAGCACACAAAGAAACAGGCUUUGUUUGGUUAUCAUAGGAAACUAUCCAAGGCGAAGCUGUAUAAGGCAAAAGCAAAAGAAAGGACCUGGCAGAGGGCCUGCGUGCCUCCGGCGGGCAACAGGAAGAGCAUGGAAUUCAUCGGUAUUAACAGUCUUCUACGCUGGCCAUCUUGGUGCUGGUUAUUUAAGGAGAGCAUGCUCUUCCCCAGAGACUGGCAGGCAACAUAUCACCCAGGGUGCAGGUAGCAGCUUUUCCUGCACGAUCCUCAGGAAAACAUGUGACAAAUUCUGAACUACCCCACUCUGGAGAGGCUCGCUGUCACUCCAAACUUACCCCAGCACCUCUGUUGAGAAGGAGGAAUCAGCUGCCCUUUAACCCCAAGCUCUGGGAACUGCAAGCUCUUUAAAAAUGCACCACUUGACGGCCACGUGAAGCAAACGUCCAUCUUCCCUGAAUGCCUUUCAACAGAGCAGUUUGCUAUUGGUCAGGAACAGAGAAAGAACUGUAUCCUAACUGUAGUGGGAUCAU